CUGACGGAGGAGGGACAUUA
Molecule: ribosomal RNA, 20 nt
Filed under: Apiospora arundinis
Lineage: Eukaryota; Fungi; Ascomycota; Sordariomycetes; Amphisphaeriales; Apiosporaceae
Description: Arthrinium arundinis partial 18S ribosomal RNA
Source: RNAcentral